GCCGGGCAUAGUGGCGCAUGCCUGUAAUCCAGCUGCUUGGAGGCUAGAGAUGUUGAAUGGCUUGAGGUGUGGAUCCCUGGUGGCGGUCGUGCUAUGUCGAUCUGGUGUCCGCGCUAAGGCGGGCGUUAAUAUGGUGCCUAGAGAGGAGUCUCGAGUCACCAGGUUGGUUAAAGAGGAGCGUACCGGCCCAGGGUGGAAACACAGCAGGCAAAAGCUCCCGCGUUCUGCAGUAGUGGGAUAGCAUCUGUGAAUAGGAAGCCGUCAACAGCCAUGCCAAGAUGGUCGAACUCAUUUCCAU
Molecule: signal recognition particle RNA, 298 nt
Filed under: Nematostella vectensis (starlet sea anemone)
Lineage: Eukaryota; Metazoa; Cnidaria; Anthozoa; Actiniaria; Edwardsiidae
Description: Metazoan signal recognition particle RNA
Rfam family: Metazoan signal recognition particle RNA
About the family: The signal recognition particle (SRP) is a universally conserved ribonucleoprotein. It is involved in the co-translational targeting of proteins to membranes. The eukaryotic SRP consists of a 300-nucleotide 7S RNA and six proteins: SRPs 72, 68, 54, 19, 14, and 9.
Source: Rfam by way of RNAcentral